GGAUGUGAGGGCGAUCUGGCUGCGACAUCUGUCACCCCAUUGAUUGCCAGGGUUGAUUCGGCUGAUCUGGCUGGCUAGGCGGGUGUCCCCUUCCUCCCUCACUGCGGUCGAAGAGGACGGCCUUCCCCGAAUAGAGAUGGACCGGUCUUCGGUCGAGGGUAUACGAGUAGCUGCGCUCCCCUGCUAGAAUCUCCAAACAAGCAAAUAGAUAUGUUGGUAAACUCUAGGGGUGCUUCCUCAUCAGUUUGCCUGACUGA
Molecule: small nuclear RNA, 257 nt
Filed under: Erinaceus europaeus (western European hedgehog)
Lineage: Eukaryota; Metazoa; Chordata; Mammalia; Eulipotyphla; Erinaceidae
Description: 7SK RNA
Rfam family: 7SK RNA
About the family: 7SK was discovered as an abundant small nuclear RNA in the mid-70s but a possible function has only recently been suggested. Two independent studies have found that 7SK RNA binds the CDK9/cyclin T complex (known as elongation factor P-TEFb).
Source: Rfam by way of RNAcentral